Molecule: ribosomal RNA, 233 nt
Filed under: uncultured bacterium
Lineage: Bacteria
Description: partial 16S ribosomal RNA
Rfam family: Bacterial small subunit ribosomal RNA
Source: RNAcentral
CGGGUGAGUAACGCGUGAGGAACCUGCCUCAAAGAGGGGGACAACAGUUGGAAACGACUGCUAAUACCGCAUAAGCCCACGGCUCGGCAUCGAGCAGAGGGAAAAGGAGCAAUCCGCUUUGAGAUGGCCUCGCGUCCGAUUAGCUAGUUGGUGAGGUAACGGCCCACCAAGGCGACGAUCGGUAGCCGGACUGAGAGGUUGAACGGCCACAUUGGGACUGAGACACGGUCCAA